CUGGCUCAGGACGAACGCUGGCGGCGUGCCUUAGACAUGCAAGUCGAGCGAGAACUUCGGUUCUAGCGGCAAACGGCGCAGUAAUACGUAAGCAACGUGCCCCCAAGACUGGGACAGUCCGGGGAAACCCGGUUUAAUACCAGAUGUGGCCGUUCUUCCGCCUGGAAGAACGAUUAAAGGACUUCGGUCGCUUAGGGAGCGGCUUACGACCUAUCAGGUAGUUGGUGAGGUAACGGCUCACCAAGCCUACGACGGGUAGCGGGUCUGAGAGGAUGAUCCGCGCGAGUGGGACUGAGACACGGCCCACACACCUACGGGUGGCAGCAGUUUGGAAUAUUGCACAAUGGGGGAAACCCUGAUGCAGCGACGCCGCGUGGGGGAUGACGGAUUUCGGUCUGUAAACCCCUUUUGCCAGGAAAGACUUAGGACGGUACCUGGCGAAUAAGCCCCGGCUAACUACGUGCCAGCAGCCGCGGUAAUACGUAGGGGGCGAGCGUUGUCCGGAUUUACUGGGCGUAAAGGGCGCGCAGGCGGCCUGUUAAGUGUGAAGUGAAAUCUCCUGGCUCAACCAGGAAAUUGCUUUGCAUACUGGCAGGCUAGAGAAAGGCAGAGGUAGAUGGAAUUCCCGGUGUAGCGGUGACAUGCGUUGAUAUCGGGAGGAACACCAAUGGCGAAGGCAGUCUACUGGGCCUCUUCUGACGCUCAGGCGCGAAAGCGUGGGUAGCAAACAGGAUUAGAUACCCUGGUAGUCCACGCCCUAAACGAUGGAUACUAG
This 775-nucleotide ribosomal RNA is filed under the name uncultured organism. Its description in RNAcentral is "bacterial SSU rRNA". It matches the Rfam family "Bacterial small subunit ribosomal RNA", at positions 19 to 819 of the family's 1533-position model. The record is from RNAcentral.